RNAcentral lists this ribosomal RNA (500 nucleotides) under uncultured bacterium. RNAcentral describes it as "partial 16S ribosomal RNA". It matches the Rfam family "Bacterial small subunit ribosomal RNA", at positions 30 to 523 of the family's 1533-position model. The record is from RNAcentral.
AUUGAACGCUGGCGGAAUGCUUUACACAUGCAAGUCGAACGGCAGCACGGACUUCGGUCUGGUGGCGAGUGGCGAACGGGUGAGUAAUACAUCGGAACGUGCCCAAUCGUGGGGGAUAACGUAGCGAAAGCUACGCUAAUACCGCAUACGAUCUAAGGAUGAAAGCGGGGGAUCGCAAGACCUCGCGCGAUUGGAGCGGCCGAUGGAAGAUUAGGUAGUUGGUAGGGUAAAGGCCUACCAAGCCGACGAGCUGUAGCUGGUCUGAGAGGAUGAUCAGCCACACUGGGACUGAGACACGGCCCAGACUCCUACGGGAGGCAGCAGUGGGGAAUUUUGGACAAUGGACGCAAGUCUGAUCCAGCCAUUCCGCGUGCAGGAUGAAGGCCCUCGGGUUGUAAACUGCUUUUGUACAGAACGAAAAGGCUCUGGUUAAUACCUAGGGCUCAUGACGGUACUGUAAGAAUAAGCACCGGCUAACUACGUGCCAGCAGCCGCAGUAA